RNAcentral lists this long non-coding RNA (215 nucleotides) under Capsicum annuum. RNAcentral describes it as "long non-coding RNA (CANN_LNC017583)". Lineage: Eukaryota; Viridiplantae; Streptophyta; Magnoliopsida; Solanales; Solanaceae. The record is from RNAcentral.
CCCGAGUGCCCCUAUCUAUCUGGCAAUCAUGCACAACGUUCAUACAAUAUAAAGAAAUAUAGAAAAUUAUCAUAUGGAAACAUGGUCAAUAUCAUAAUUCAACUAGACAAUUUGAAAGGAAAUCCUUAAUGUUCAAAACACAUAACACCCAUUUGCGAAAUCUUUAUCAUUACAUGAUUCAACAUAUGUCCAAAAAUAAAAUUGGGACACGACCC